GAUGAAGAACGUAGCGAAAUGCGAUAAGUAAUGUGAAUUGCAGAAUUCAGUGAAUCAUCGAAUCUUUGAACGCACAUUGCGCCCCUUGGUAUUCCGGGGGGCAUGCCUCUUCCAGCGUCAUUUCACCCCUCAAGCUCUGCUUGGUUUUGGGCCGCGCCGGAACGGCGGGCCUCGAAAAUAGUGGCGACGCCAUCGUGCUCUCAGCGUAGUAAUUCUUCUCGCUGUUGGGUCCCGGUGGUCGUCCGCCAGCAACCCCCAACUUUCUUAAGUUUGACCUGGGAUGAGGUAGGGAUACCCGCUGAACUUAAGCAUAUCAAUAAGCGGAGGA
This 328-nucleotide unclassified non-coding RNA is filed under the name soil metagenome. RNAcentral describes it as "partial contains 5.8S ribosomal RNA, internal transcribed spacer 2, and large subunit ribosomal RNA". The stretch from base 1 to 120 matches the Rfam family "5.8S ribosomal RNA", at positions 35 to 154 of the family's 154-position model. The record is from RNAcentral.